GGCAUCGUGGCUGAACGGCUAGGCGAGACUCCGCAAGAGUCUAUAUAAUGGUUCGAAUCCAUUCGAUGCCU
Molecule: transfer RNA, 71 nt
Filed under: Pricia antarctica
Lineage: Bacteria; Pseudomonadati; Bacteroidota; Flavobacteriia; Flavobacteriales; Flavobacteriaceae
Also listed under: 1 other name
Description: Maribacter sp. ZS1-8 tRNA
Rfam family: tRNA
About the family: Transfer RNA (tRNA) molecules are approximately 80 nucleotides in length. Their secondary structure includes four short double-helical elements and three loops (D, anti-codon, and T loops).
Source: Rfam by way of RNAcentral